GGUGCACUUUGGGGAGAGUCUUCGGACAGACUUGAGCUCUGCAAGGAUCCCGUAAUCUUGGAAUGAGCCCAGUUUGUUUAAGUGACAGGUCGACUGGAACUGGACACCUUUCUGGAAAAAACACAUUGAAAUAAACGUCAAGCUUGAAGGAGCCUGUCGUGAGAAGAGUAGCGCCGAUCAGCAACCUGGAUUUGCCGUCGCAGUUCAUGAAACAUGCACAAACAACACCCUCUUGACCCUCUUGACCCUCUUUCCUCUGGGCCCCUCUCUACCACCAAGCUGUCCCAUUCAAAGCGAUUUACUUCAUUUUGCUUCGCUAAUACAGGACUUUCACUUGUAGGGUGAAUGCAGGUAUAUUGGGACACGCAUCAUUUUACUACUCCUGUGUGAUGUCACCUACGUUAUCUCAUGUGACUUUAAACCUAAGCAAUGUACAAGCACCCCUACCUUUACCAUAGCCUUUUCAAGGCAGAAGUAAAAUGCUGUCCCACAUUACCUGAUAAACCCUAAUAAAGCAAGAUCAAUUAUGCCUGAUAAAUAUGUAGUAACAUUUUCUCGUAAGGAUUAUGAAUUAUUUAUUAUGCCGGCUUAGUCUACUUUAGGGUAUUUAUUCAAUUGACUCUAGCCCGAGUUAUGUUCUACUAACCGGACUCUCCGAAACCGGACUACUGCUAAAGUGCACGCGCGGUUAUGCAAACCGCAGCAAAAAGGCUUGAGGCGCAAAACUGAAAGCGAAACUAAGGAAAAGUGCUACUGUUGCUUUGUUUCAACCAAAUAGUCACGAUUUCGCAAGCUUCGCCGACGCCAACUGAAAUAUCUCCACAGGACGCACGUGGAACACCAAAGUGGUCACACCUUUUUACGCACCGAUUUUUUUUGCCAGGCUUUCUGUCUUCUAAAAGGAAAAAACUCACCCUUACAACAACAACAACAACAACCCAAGUUAGGCUCCAGACGUACGGACCCCGCACGGCGGUUAUUGGAGCGUCACGAUGACGUCAUCCACGGACACUGUGGGGUCAGCGGCGGAUCUUGUCACCGACACGGACCGCGACGACUAUUAUAAAGUUCACUCGGGGCUGGUCGGCCAGCAGAGAUGUCCAUGCGGACCUGGAUGGUGAGGGUGCCAGCGUUUGGAGCCACGGCCACAUGUCGAGAAGACUGUGUUCAACCGUCUCGGCCACCGUACGUUCGUUACUAAGCAACAAACAACGCGCGAGAACAUGUGACAGCUGGAGGCUUUUGAUAGAACUGCACAGUGCAGGUGGAGGAUGUGGAGGCACAGAGCAGGUGGAGGAAAACCCGGAGUCACGAAACCAAAACAUAAAAGAGGAGAGAGAAAAAAGUGGGUUGAGAAUGGCUGGUUCAUGAUCCAGCCCAAAAAAUAAUGUAUUGCACCGAUUGUAGGACGUUAAGAGGUCUCUCUUGUUGGGACAAGCAAGUUUCCGUUGGUUGUGUCAAAAGCUUCGCGAGUAAACAGACAAAGACAAAGUGUUGCGUUUAGGUUCCUGGUUCUCAUGAAGUCGGCGGAGCUUUACACCCUUGAAAGUUGUUUAAUAUCCUUGAAAAUAAAUGCUUUGCUACUUGUUAAAAGCCAAAUCCUUUCAUGUAAUGAUUUUUCACGUCAUUUGUUUGCUUGUCUUUUCCGUUUGAAGGUCCGACGUCGGUAGGACUUCCACAAGUACAGAGUCGCUAUGUUUCCAGGGUUGAUGCGGAGGAAAAACGAUGGCGGAAAGUUCAACUGUUUCCAGGCGAUAAACCACGCCCCCUCCGUCAGUCAAUACACGCGAAUUGAUGCGACACUAAUGCGACAUCCGCGUCGCGUUCGGUGUGAACGUAGCAUAAAGCGCAACAGGUGGCGCAUGCGCAAAGGGUCAUUAAUUAAUGAAUUUGAGUUCACACGUACACGUUUUAACCUAAAUACAUCUAAUAAGUGAAGCUAUUAAACCAUUUUAUGUUACGGAGAU
This is a long non-coding RNA of Pungitius pungitius (ninespine stickleback), 1967 nucleotides long. RefSeq lists it as uncharacterized. The transcript has 4 exons. The record is from RefSeq and is a predicted model, not a curated record. NCBI's taxonomy places the organism in Eukaryota, Metazoa, Chordata, Actinopteri, Perciformes, Gasterosteidae.